Molecule: ribosomal RNA, 509 nt
Filed under: uncultured bacterium
Lineage: Bacteria
Description: partial 16S ribosomal RNA
Rfam family: Bacterial small subunit ribosomal RNA
Source: RNAcentral
GACGAACGCUGGCGGCGUGCUUAACACAUGCAAGUCGAACGAAGAGCGAUGGAAGCUUGCUUCUAUCAAUCUUAGUGGCGAACGGGUGAGUAACGCGUAUCAACCUGCCCUUCAGAGGGGGACAACAGUUGGAAACGACUGCUAAUACCGCAUACGAUCUAAUCUCGGCAUCGAGGAUAGAUGAAAGGUGGCCUCUACAUGUAAGCUAUCACUGAAGGAGGGGAUUGCGUCUGAUUAGCUAGUUGGAGGGGUAACGGCCCACCAAGGCGAUGAUCAGUAGCCGGUCUGAGAGGAUGAACGGCCACAUUGGGACUGAGACACGGCCCAGACUCCUACGGGAGGCAGCAGUGGGGAAUCUUCCGCAAUGGACGAAAGUCUGACGGAGCAACGCCGCGUGAGUGAUGACGGCCUUCGGGUUGUAAAGCUCUGUUAAUCGGGACGAAAGGCCUUCUUGCGAACAGUUAGAAGGAUUGACGGUACCGGAAUAGAAAGCCACGGCUAACUACGUG